This 551-nucleotide ribosomal RNA is filed under the name uncultured fungus. Its description in RNAcentral is "eukaryotic LSU rRNA". The stretch from base 175 to 328 matches the Rfam family "5.8S ribosomal RNA". The record is from RNAcentral. Lineage: Eukaryota; Fungi.
GAUCAUUACAAGUUGACCCCGGCCCUCGGGCCGUUUGGAAAAAAAUGUUCACAACCCUUUGCUGUCCGACUCUGUUGCCUCCGGGGCGACCCUGCCUCCGGGCGGGGGCCCCGGGUGGACAUUUCAAACUCUUGCGUAACUUUGCAGUCUGAGUAAAUUUAAUUAAUAAAUUAAAACUUUCAACAACGGAUCUCUUGGUUCUGGCAUCGAUGAAGAACGCAGCGAAAUGCGAUAAGUAAUGUGAAUUGCAGAAUUCAGUGAAUCAUCGAAUCUUUGAACGCACAUUGCGCCCCCUGGUAUUCCGGGGGGCAUGCCUGUUCGAGCGUCAUUUCACCACUCAAGCCUCGCUUGGUAUUGGGCGACGCGGUCCGCCGCGCGCCUCAAAUCGACCGGCUGGGUCUUUCGUCCCCUCAGCGUUGUGGAAACUAUUCGCUAAAGGGUGCCGCGGGAGGCCACGCCGUAAAACAACCCCAUUUCUAAGGUUGACCUCGGAUCAGGUAGGGAUACCCGCUGAACUUAAGCAUAUCAAUAAGCGGAGGAAAGGGCGAAUU